UUGACACGCACACUCCAGCAACAUCAACAACCUGGCUUCUAUAUGUUCCCAAUCAAACGUGUAUAUGCUGAGUUGUAUGAAUUGGUCUACGUGGACGCAGAAACCAAGCACCAUGCAUCAUUGGAAUUAGGGAGAUGCACAUGUCCCAAACCUAAAUCCACAAGCUUGGCUCGUGGCUAGUCACCAAAUUAAAGGGGUCCUCCCACUAUCUAUCUGCUCUAUAUAGAGUGGUCUCUCUUCCAAACCAAUUCAAACUCAACACAACAAUCCAAACACAUACACCACUAGCCUCUUACACAGAUAUAAUAGUGCACCAAUUUAGUAACAUUCAUACACUUGCAUUGUUCGUUCAACUACUUACUCUACAAAAAUGUCUUCCACUUCCAAGGUUAAUGUUGCCCCUUACUGCAACAAGCUUGAAAACGAUGAUCGUGAUGGUGGCUAUGCUCCUGCAACUACUAAUUGCUUUCCACAAGAGGAUAAUAGUGAAUAUGAUCAUUCAAGUUUCAUGGAAGGUGAUGAUGACGAUGAUGGCUAUGACUACGCUCCUGCUGCCUAAUAUACUAAAGCGAAAAGUUCAAGGGCCAGCACAAUUUAGUAUAUAUAUUUGACCAGCACUUAUAGCCCUCUAUAAUUCCUCUUAACUAAAAUGUUCGGUUUUAGUAGUGAUUCUAACAAAAUCCAUCUUAGUUUGUACUUUGGUGCCUCUUAAUUAUAUUAUGCUGAUGUAGGCAUAUCAACCAUAUGAGUUAGUGAGGAGAGCUUUUGUUGUGAAGAAAAUGAUCAACAAUUAAUUAAUGAAAAGCAUAGGCAUAUGCAUAUGUAUGUUAAUCAUCAAUUAAUUAAUGAUUAGUUGUUGAUUAAAAUGCAA
Non-coding RNA from Arachis ipaensis, 871 nucleotides. NCBI's taxonomy places the organism in Eukaryota, Viridiplantae, Streptophyta, Magnoliopsida, Fabales, Fabaceae. The record is from RefSeq and is a predicted model, not a curated record.